ACGCCUAACACAUGCAAGUCGAGCGAGGUAGCAAUACCUAGCGGCAGACGGGUGAGUAACAUGUGGGAGUCUGCCUUUUGGUUCGGAACAACACGGGGAAACCUGUGCUAAUACCGGAUAAGUCCUAACGGAGAAAGUUUUAAUGCCAAAAGAUGAGCCCGCAUUUGAUUAGCAGUUGAGGUAAAAGCUUACCAAGACGACAAUCAAUAGCUGAUUUGAGAGGAUGAUCAGCCACACUGGGACUGAGAUACGGCCCAGACUCC
Molecule: ribosomal RNA, 263 nt
Filed under: unidentified marine bacterioplankton
Lineage: Bacteria
Description: partial 16S ribosomal RNA
Rfam family: Bacterial small subunit ribosomal RNA
Source: RNAcentral